GACUAACGCUGGCGGCGCGCUUAACACAUGCAAGUCGAACGGAAAGGCCUGCUUUCCCUUGUGGAUUGCGGGUACUCGAGUGGCGAACGGGUGAGUAACACGUGAGUGAUCUGCCCCCAACUUGGGUAUAAGCCUGGGAAACUGGGUCUAAUUCCCGAUAGGACUGCAGGGUGGUGCCUGUGGUGGAAAACGAUUUUCUAGUGGUUGGGGAUGAGCUCGCGGCCUAUCAGCUUGUUGGUGGGGUAAUGGCCUACCAAGGCGGCGACGGGUAGCCGGCCUGAGAGGGUGGACGGCCACAUUGGGACUGAGAUACGGCCCAGACUCCUACGGGAGGCAGCAGUGGGGAAUAUUGCACAAUGGGCGGAAGCCUGAUGCAGCGACGCCGCGUGGGGGAUGACGGCCUUCGGGUUGUAAACUCCUUUCGACCGCGAGGAAGCCACCUGGUUGGAAGGGUGGUGACGGUAGUGGUAGAAGAAGCACCGGCUAACUACGUG
This 494-nucleotide ribosomal RNA is filed under the name uncultured bacterium. RNAcentral describes it as "partial 16S ribosomal RNA". It matches the Rfam family "Bacterial small subunit ribosomal RNA", at positions 28 to 507 of the family's 1533-position model. The record is from RNAcentral.